CACGUAGGGGGCGAGCGUUGUCCGGAAUUAUUGGGCGUAAAGAGCUCGUAGGCGGUCUGUCGCGUCGGAUGUGAAAACCCAGGGCUCAACCCUGGGCCUGCAUUCGAUACGGGCUAGCUAGAGUGUGGUAGGGGAGAUCGGAAUUCCUGGUGUAGCGGUGAAAUGCGCAGAUAUCAGGAGGAACACCCGUAGCGAAGGCGGUUCUCUGGGCCAAUACUGACGCUGAGGAGCGAAAGCGUGGGGAGCAAACAGG
Molecule: ribosomal RNA, 253 nt
Filed under: uncultured bacterium
Lineage: Bacteria
Description: partial 16S ribosomal RNA
Rfam family: Bacterial small subunit ribosomal RNA
Source: RNAcentral